GUAGCUCAACAGAGUAAGUUGAAAUUGCGUUGUGAAAGCUGAGGUUGAAAGGUUGAGCUAAAGAGCUUUGUUUUUUUUAAAUCGUACAGUCUGCCGGAAAUCACUGAGGGUUUCUGUAUUGUUGAAUGAUGCGAUCUGCCUUCCUUUGGGAAGAUAACCUUGUCCUGGGGUUAGGAAGAGGAGGAAGAGCUCUACACCCACCUGAUCUGGAAGGGGAGCUCUUCCAGGCCUCUGACUUGUGAAGACAGACACUGCAGAGGACUUUUUGCUGAGAAAAGAAGCUGAAUGAAGGGAUGGAUGUCUUUAAAAGGUGGAGAAAAGCAUGAAUUCUUUAAAAUACUUUGAGUGUAGAGUAUGGGUGUGUGGAAGACUUCCUGGAGGAGGUGAGAUGAUCUAAGGGAGGCACGUUGCUCUUGUGGGAUGGAGCAGAGCAUUCAGGGUGGAGAUUCCUGGAUGAUAUGGACAGAGGCAGAGGUGAAGUUUCACAUUUUGGAGGAUGGAUAUAGCUGGGCUGCUUUGAAAGAGACAUGUCAAGAUGGAAGUGGACCCAACAUAAAAGUUAGUGGACACAACACAAAAGUAAGUCUUUUGGGGAAACCACACCCCUACCUGGAGCUUUACAUACACUUACUUAAUCCUCACAAUAAUCCUAAGCAGUAGGCAGAACUAGCACCUUUAUUUCACAGAUGAGGAAACUGAGGCACAGAAGAGUAGGAGGAUGUGACCAUGAGCAUGGAGAAGGAUGAGGUAUAGCCAGGAUGGGACCAUAGGGCUGCUCAUCUCCAGUUCUAAGACCAUUUAAGGGUAUGAUUCUAGAGCCAGCCAAUCUGUAUUUGAAUCUUAACUCUUCCUCCUCCCAGUUGUGUGAACUUGAGGAAACUACAUAAUGUCUCUGUGCCCCAGGUCACCUUCUGUAAGAGAGAUGAAUGUCUGCCCACUUCACAGGGUCGUGAAUGAUAAUCAGAAUGGAACUAAUUUACACGGGUAAGCAUUUAGAGCAGUGGCUGCCUUACAAGGUUAAGUGCUCAUGAGAGUUUGGCAAAUGAAUUUUUACAUUCUUAGCCACCAAGAGAUAUUCGGUGCAAUAGAAGCCUGAGUGAUUGUCUGUAGGAGGGUGUGCGUAGAUAAAAGGAGAGGGAUGCCUCAGCUGGACCUCACUGCAUGAGCAGAAAGUCAUCGGGCUGCCCUUCGGAGCCUCCUUCAGCAGGUCCCCUCCAGAGCAGUCUUUGCCUCAUUCUUGCAGCUCCAAGGGGAGCCAGUGAGAUG
Molecule: long non-coding RNA, 1266 nt
Filed under: Sus scrofa (pig)
Lineage: Eukaryota; Metazoa; Chordata; Mammalia; Artiodactyla; Suidae
Description: lncRNA (ENSSSCG00055014730.1)
Source: RNAcentral